UGGGGAAUAUUGCACAAUGGAGGGAACUCUGAUGCAGCGACGCCGCGUGAACGAAGAAGGCUUUCGAGUCGUAAAGUUCUUUUAUAUGGGAAGAUAAUGACGGUACCAUAAGAAAAAGCCCCGGCUAACUACGUGCCAGCAGCCGCGGUAAUACGUAGGGGGCUAGCGUUUUCCGGAAUCACUGGGCGUAAAGGGUUCGCAGGCGGAAAUGCAAGUCAGGUGUAAAAGGCAGUAGCUUAACUACUGUAAGCAUUUGAAACUGCAUAUCUUGAGAAGAGUAGGGGUAAGUGGAAUUUUUAGUGUAGCGGUGAAAUGCGUAGAUAUUAAAAAGAAUACCGGUGGCGAAGGCGACUUACUGGGCUCAUUCUGACGCUGAGGAACGAAAGCGUGGGUAGCAAACAGG
This 403-nucleotide ribosomal RNA is filed under the name Fusobacteriota bacterium. RNAcentral's name for it is "Fusobacteria bacterium partial 16S ribosomal RNA". It matches the Rfam family "Bacterial small subunit ribosomal RNA", at positions 355 to 776 of the family's 1533-position model. Lineage: Bacteria; Fusobacteriati; Fusobacteriota. The record is from RNAcentral.